RNAcentral lists this unclassified non-coding RNA (276 nucleotides) under Hevea brasiliensis (rubber tree). Lineage: Eukaryota; Viridiplantae; Streptophyta; Magnoliopsida; Malpighiales; Euphorbiaceae. The record is from RNAcentral.
GGCGCUCUCCGCAGCCCGCUUCACAUAGAGGUAUGGCGUCCGGUUCGCAAGCGCGCUCAGACACCUGUGCGUUGACGGAACGCGUCGUCGGCCUCCAUAACAGGCAGCGGAGCGGAUUUGACAUUCGCGGCAACCCAGAGCCCGCAGUUCGCAUCGCGAAUGUCAAAUCUAAAGCUCCACUAGAGACUUAGUAAUCCCCCAGUGGUCCCUUGAUUCUAACAUUCGCAAGCCUGCCCGGUGAAACGGGAUGCGAAUGUUAGAAUCGGACCACUGGGA